AUUUUCUAGAUAUACAGCAUCACAAAGCAAAGAACAAUUUCAUACAUUUAUCUUAUGAUGAUGAUGAUGAUGAUGAUGAUGAUGAUGAUGCAUGAACUGAUUACAAUGUUUUUUAAUGGCACUAAAAUACGAAAAAGAGCAAUGAGCGUUUGGUGAUCUAGAGAGUAGCAAGAGGACAUUCACCAGCCUUCAAUGACCUAACCAGCUGUCGUGGGGAGCAUUAACAUACAUCGCAUGUUUUACAUAAGAAAAAAUUCAUUUGGACCCCUAUCUUGGGAUGUAAAUAGACUUGAUACCAUUUCCUUUUACCACCGGAAGUCUCGGAAGUUUUUCUUCACCAAGUAACCCAGCGACUAAGUUCAAAGACACUUAAAAGUUCCCGUCAAGGUCAUUAAAGAAUUAAUCAUGAGAAAAAUGCGUAACGUUGCACGUUAAAUAUUGUUCGAGUUUGCUCAUAAUUAUAAAUAAUUCUUCUACAUGCAUAAUUAAUACUAAAAUUAUUAUA
This is a long non-coding RNA of Chelonus insularis, 505 nucleotides long. RefSeq lists it as uncharacterized. NCBI's taxonomy places the organism in Eukaryota, Metazoa, Arthropoda, Insecta, Hymenoptera, Braconidae. The transcript is spliced from 3 exons. The record is from RefSeq and is a predicted model, not a curated record.